RNAcentral lists this ribosomal RNA (618 nucleotides) under bacterium ocme08sprp794. RNAcentral describes it as "bacterial SSU rRNA". It matches the Rfam family "Bacterial small subunit ribosomal RNA", at positions 48 to 656 of the family's 1533-position model. The record is from RNAcentral.
GCUACACAUGCAGUCGAGCGGUAACAGGAAUUAGCUUGCUAAUUUGCUGACGAGCGGCGGACGGGUGAGUAAUGCCUAGGGAACUGCCCAGUCGAGGGGGAUAACAGUUGGAAACGACUGCUAAUACCGCAUACGCCCUACGGGGGAAAAGAGGGGACCUUCGGGCCUUCUGCGAUUGGAUGUACCUAGGUGGGAUUAGCUAGUUGGUGAGGUAAUGGCUCACCAAGGCGACGAUCCCUAGCUGUUCUGAGAGGAUGAUCAGCCACACUGGGACUGAGACACGGCCCAGACUCCUACGGGAGGCAGCAGUGGGGAAUAUUGCACAAUGGGCGCAAGCCUGAUGCAGCCAUGCCGCGUGUGUGAAGAAGGCCUUCGGGUUGUAAAGCACUUUCAGCGAGGAGGAAAGCUUAAGCGUUAAUAGCGUUUAGGUGUGACGUUACUCGCAGAAGAAGGACCGGCUAACUUCGUGCCAGCAGCCGCGGUAAUACGAGGGGUCCAAGCGUUAAUCGGAAUUACUGGGCGUAAAGCGUACGCAGGCGGUUUGUUAAGCGAGAUGUGAAAGCCCCGGGCUCAACCUGGGAACUGCAUUUCGAACUGGCAAACUAGAGUCUUGUAGAG